RNAcentral lists this ribosomal RNA (502 nucleotides) under uncultured bacterium. Its description in RNAcentral is "partial 16S ribosomal RNA". It matches the Rfam family "Bacterial small subunit ribosomal RNA", at positions 30 to 523 of the family's 1533-position model. The record is from RNAcentral.
AUUGAACGCUGGCGGAAUGCUUUACACAUGCAAGUCGAACGGCAGCACGGGUGCUUGCACCUGGUGGCGAGUGGCGAACGGGUGAGUAAUACAUCGGAACGUACCCUGACGUGGGGGAUAACGUAGCGAAAGUUACGCUAAUACCGCAUACGUCCUGAGGGAGAAAGCAGGGGAUCGUAAGACCUUGCGCGUUAGGAGCGGCCGAUGGCGGAUUAGCUAGUUGGUAGGGUAAAGGCCUACCAAGGCGACGAUCCGUAGCGGGUCUGAGAGGACGACCCGCCACACUUGAACUGAGACACGGUCCAAACUCCUACGGGAGGCAGCAGUGGGGAAUUUUGGACAAUGGGCGAAAGCCUGAUCCAGCCAUUCCGCGUGAGUGAAGAAGGCCUUCGGGUUGUAAAGCUCUUUCGGCAGGGAAGAAACGGUUUUGGAUAAUACCCAGAACUAAUGACGGUACCUGAAGAAGAAGCACCGGCUAACUACGUGCCAGCCGCCGCAGUAA